This 93-nucleotide transfer RNA is filed under the name Dipodomys ordii (Ord's kangaroo rat). It matches the Rfam family "tRNA". Rfam says of the family: Transfer RNA (tRNA) molecules are approximately 80 nucleotides in length. Their secondary structure includes four short double-helical elements and three loops (D, anti-codon, and T loops). Further hydrogen bonds mediate the characteristic L-shaped molecular structure. tRNAs have two regions of fundamental functional importance: the anti-codon, which is responsible for specific mRNA codon recognition, and the 3' end, to which the tRNAs corresponding amino acid is attached (by aminoacyl-tRNA synthetases). tRNAs cope with the degeneracy of the genetic code in two manners: having more than one tRNA (with a specific anti-codon) for a particular amino acid; and 'wobble' base-pairing, i.e. permitting non-standard base-pairing at the 3rd anti-codon position. The record is from Rfam by way of RNAcentral. Lineage: Eukaryota; Metazoa; Chordata; Mammalia; Rodentia; Heteromyidae.
GGUGGUAUAGCUCAAGUGGUAAAGCACCAGCCUUGAGCAGAAAAACAAACAAGUGAGAGCAUGAGGCCCUGAGUUCAAGCCUCAGUACCAACA